Molecule: ribosomal RNA, 214 nt
Filed under: uncultured Aquificia bacterium
Lineage: Bacteria; Pseudomonadati; Aquificota; Aquificia
Description: uncultured Aquificae bacterium partial 16S ribosomal RNA
Rfam family: Bacterial small subunit ribosomal RNA
Source: RNAcentral
GGGGUUUUAAAAGUGUCCGCAGCCGGGAUGGGUAAGCGGUUCGUCAAAAGCCCACCGCUCAACGGUGGAAAGGCGUACCGAACUGCCCAUCUUGAGGCACGCUCAGGGCAGGCGGAAUUCCCGGUGUAGCGGUGAAAAUGCGUAGAUAUCGGGAGGAACACCGAAGGCGAAGGCAGCCUGCUGGAGCUGUUCUGACGGUCAGGGACGAAAGCUG